Molecule: ribosomal RNA, 253 nt
Filed under: uncultured bacterium
Lineage: Bacteria
Description: partial 16S ribosomal RNA
Rfam family: Bacterial small subunit ribosomal RNA
Source: RNAcentral
UACGGGGGGGGGCAAGCGUUGUUCGGAAUUACUGGGCGUAAAGGGCUCGUAGGCGGCCAACUAAGUCAGACGUGAAAUCCCUCGGCUUAACCGGGGAACUGCGUCUGAUACUGGUUGGCUUGAGUGUGGGAGAGGGAUGCGGAAUUCCAGGUGUAGCGGUGAAAUGCGUAGAUAUCUGGAGGAACACCGGUGGCGAAGGCGGCAUCCUGGACCAUUACUGACGCUGAGGAGCGAAAGCCAGGGAGCAAACGGG